This 1097-nucleotide long non-coding RNA is filed under the name Gossypium barbadense (sea-island cotton). RNAcentral's name for it is "long non-coding RNA (GBAR_LNC007829)". The record is from RNAcentral. Lineage: Eukaryota; Viridiplantae; Streptophyta; Magnoliopsida; Malvales; Malvaceae.
AAUCAGCAAGGGGGGGAAGCCAUAGUUAGGGUUUUCAAGCUUCCAAGCUCCAUAAUCAAGAAGUACGAAACUCGAGGUUAGACAAAGGGAAGAAUAAAGUUGAAGACUAAGUUGGUGAAUUUGGCUAUAAUUGGUACCGAGGUAAGUUUACGGUAAAUAAAUGCAAUAUUUCAAUAUUUAUUAUUAAUGCUGUUAAUUUCCAGCAAUUAUGAAUUUAUUUUAUGAAUUUAUUUGAUGAUGAUCCAAGCAUGAAAUGAUAGAGAAUUAAAAUUUAAAAGUCCCGUUGAUACAUAAGGAUGGUACUGGAUACGAAUGUCAUGACAUUUGGGUAAAGAGAUCCCAUGUAAGACCAUGUCUGGGACAUGGCAUUGGCAUCCUUAAGAUCAUGAGAGGUCCCCUGUAAGACCAUGUCUGGGACAUGGCAUGGGCACCGAGACGAGAGGUCCCAUGUAAGACCAUGUCUGGGACAUGGCGUUGGCACCGAGAUGAGAGGUCCCCUAUAAGACCAUGUCUGGGACAUGGCAUGGGCACCAUCACGAGAACAUCCCAUGUAAGACCAUGUCUGGGACAUGGCUUUGGCAUGUUAUUAUCAGAAGAGACCCGAGUAUCCUUAUUAUUCCAAUGUAGCUCAACGGGCUUGUAAACGAAUCAUGUUCAUGAAAGUUCAGUUUAAAGCAUAAAUGGCAAGCUCAGGUAAGUUGUAAGACUUAAGAACUUAUUAUACUAUCAAUUGAUGUUCAACGAUGCAGCAAGGAUUGAGUAAGUUAUGCACACAAGUAUUCUAAGUAAACAAGUAAGAGAACUAGUAUGAGAUUAACUAAAGAGUAAACUAGAGAUAUAGACAUUGAGUUUAAUUAUUUAAGUUAAAUAUUGUUAUUUAUUUGCUAGUAAACUUACUAAGCUUUAUGCUUACUUCUUUUAUUUCUCUUUCUCUUAUAGUAUUGCAAAGCUACUUCAAGGAUCCUAAAGAAGUCGGAGAUCGUCCACACUAUCAACUACAACUGCUCGGUAUUUUAUAUCGAAACACGUUUGAGUUAUGGCAUGUAUAGGGAUUUAGUUAUUUUGUAUGUUUGUAAUGAUGAUUUUGCUAAUGAGUG